CUUCCAAGGAAUCCCAUCUAGCAGCUUCUGUGGGCAAAGGGAGAAUAGUUGGAGGGGCCCUUCCUUUCGGUCCAAAUCCUCCCCAGAACCCGGCCUCAGGAAAGGCCACCUGACCCUCUGCUCCCUUCAUGCCUUUCCCUUAGGAGCCCUCCUCCAGAGCACCCCAGUCACAGGGCUAGAAGAAAGAACGCUGCAGCUUCUUCUGACCGGGCUCGUGCCGUUGCAGGGGGACGCGGGCACGAACCUGGAAUUGGCAGUGGACGCUCUGGAGGACCACAUCCGUCGAAAGUGGGCACAGGUUCGGGACGACGCCACAAGUGGAAGCCGCAUCACUCAGAAUUCAGCCACAUGGUACCGGUGGCUACUUGGAUUUUGCCGGCACUAAAUGCCAUCCAUCGAGAGCAAAGGCUUCACCCCAUGAAAGAGAACUUCUACAGCCGGGCAUUCUGGGCAAC
Pogona vitticeps (central bearded dragon) is the source of this 455-nucleotide non-coding RNA. The record is from RefSeq and is a predicted model, not a curated record. Lineage: Eukaryota; Metazoa; Chordata; Lepidosauria; Squamata; Agamidae.